This 486-nucleotide ribosomal RNA is filed under the name Candida tropicalis. Its description in RNAcentral is "eukaryotic LSU rRNA". The stretch from base 173 to 326 matches the Rfam family "5.8S ribosomal RNA". The record is from RNAcentral. Lineage: Eukaryota; Fungi; Ascomycota; Pichiomycetes; Serinales; Debaryomycetaceae.
UUCCGUUAGGGGUGACCUGCGGAAGGAUCAUUACUGAUUUGCUUAAUUGCACCACAUGUGUUUUUUAUUGAACAAAUUUCUUUGGUGGCGGGAGCAAUCCUACCGCCAGAGGUUAUAACUAAACCAAACUUUUUAUUUACAGUCAAACUUGAUUUAUUAUUACAAUAGUCAAAACUUUCAACAACGGAUCUCUUGGUUCUCGCAUCGAUGAAGAACGCAGCGAAAUGCGAUACGUAAUAUGAAUUGCAGAUAUUCGUGAAUCAUCGAAUCUUUGAACGCACAUUGCGCCCUUUGGUAUUCCAAAGGGCAUGCCUGUUUGAGCGUCAUUUCUCCCUCAAACCCCCGGGUUUGGUGUUGAGCAAUACGCUAGGUUUGUUUGAAAGAAUUUAACGUGGAAACUUAUUUUAAGCGACUUAGGUUUAUCCAAAAACGCUUAUUUUGCUAGUGGCCACCACAAUUUAUUUCAUAACUUUGACCUCAAAUCAG